Molecule: ribosomal RNA, 429 nt
Filed under: Chloroflexota bacterium
Lineage: Bacteria; Bacillati; Chloroflexota
Description: Chloroflexi bacterium partial 16S ribosomal RNA
Rfam family: Bacterial small subunit ribosomal RNA
Source: RNAcentral
UGGGGAAUAUUGCACAAUGGGCGCAAGCCUGAUGCAGCCAUGCCGCGUGUGUGAAGAAGGCCUUCGGGUUGUAAAGCACUUUCAGCGGGGAGGAAGGCGGUGAGGUUAAUAACCUCAUCGAUUGACGUUACCCGCAGAAGAAGCACCGGCUAACUCCGUGCCAGCAGCCGCGGUAAUACGGAGGGUGCAAGCGUUAAUCGGAAUUACUGGGCGUAAAGCGCACGCAGGCGGUCUGUCAAGUCGGAUGUGAAAUCCCCGGGCUCAACCUGGGAACUGCAUUCGAAACUGGCAGGCUAGAGUCUUGUAGAGGGGGGUAGAAUUCCAGGUGUAGCGGUGAAAUGCGUAGAGAGCUGGAGGAAUACCGGUGGCGAAGGCGGCCCCCUGGACAAAGACUGACGCUCAGGUGCGAAAGCGUGGGGAGCAAACAGG